Molecule: long non-coding RNA, 281 nt
Filed under: Elaeis guineensis (African oil palm)
Lineage: Eukaryota; Viridiplantae; Streptophyta; Magnoliopsida; Arecales; Arecaceae
Description: long non-coding RNA (EGUI_LNC055054)
Source: RNAcentral
AUACACACCUCCUUACCGAAGAUCAACCGAGUGUGUAAUGUACCACUCAAAUAUAAGACUAUCAUUGAGAAUGAUGAUACACCAUACAUCAUUGAGAAUAAUGUUCUCCUUGACCUAUUCGAAGAUUGUUAUGAGUAGAGACUGACAAUUGGCCUGAAAUCUUGAUAUCCAAAAUGAACUCCUUAUACAUCAACUAAGUUUGGACUAUGAUUGAAGCAUCGAUGAGUAUGACCCAACAGGUUGCUAUCAAGGAUGUCAAUCCAGAUUUUUGCUAUUGCCAC